This 131-nucleotide small nuclear RNA is filed under the name Oryctolagus cuniculus (rabbit). Its description in RNAcentral is "U4 spliceosomal RNA". The stretch from base 1 to 82 matches the Rfam family "U4 spliceosomal RNA". From Rfam's summary of the family: U4 small nuclear RNA (U4 snRNA) is a component of the major U2-dependent spliceosome. The structure of U4 snRNA from yeast and human has been reported. Lineage: Eukaryota; Metazoa; Chordata; Mammalia; Lagomorpha; Leporidae. The record is from Rfam by way of RNAcentral.
AGCUUUGUGCAGUGGCAGUAUCAUAUCCAAUGAGGUUUAUCCGAGGUGUGAUUAUUGCUAAUUGAAAGAAUAUUCAGAUCAGAAAGUGGAGAAGUGGUCUCAAUAAAAUUGUUCUAAAGGGCAUCCUGCUC